Molecule: ribosomal RNA, 254 nt
Filed under: uncultured bacterium
Lineage: Bacteria
Description: partial 16S ribosomal RNA
Rfam family: Bacterial small subunit ribosomal RNA
Source: RNAcentral
UACGAAGGGUGCAAGCGUUAAUCGGAAUUACUGGGCGUAAAGCGUGCGUAGGCGGUUUGUUAAGUCCGUUGUGAAAGCCCUGGGCUCAACCUGGGAAUUGCAGUGGAUACUGGCAGCUAGAGUCAGGUAGAGGGUGGUGGAAUUCCCGGUGUAGCGGUGAAAUGCGUAGAGAUCGGGAGGAACAUCUGUGGCGAAGGCGGCCACCUGGACCAUGACUGACGCUGAGGCACGGAAAGCGAUGGGGAGCAAACAGG